Molecule: ribosomal RNA, 424 nt
Filed under: uncultured bacterium
Lineage: Bacteria
Description: bacterial SSU rRNA
Rfam family: Bacterial small subunit ribosomal RNA
Source: RNAcentral
UGGGGAAUAUUGGACAAUGGGCGCAAGCCUGAUCCAGCCAUGCCGCGUGAAUGAUGAAGGCCUUCGGGUUGUAAAGUUCUUUUAGUGGAGAAAAUAAUGAUGGUAUCCACAGAAAAAGCCCCGGCUAACUUCGUGCCAGCAGCCGCGGUAAUACGAAGGGGGCUAGCGUUGUUCGGAAUUACUGGGCGUAAAGGGUUUGUAGGCGGUUGAACAAGUCAGAUGUGAAAGCCCAGGGCUUAACCCUGGAAUUGCAUUUGAAACUGUUCAGCUAGAGAGUGUUAGAGGAAAGUGGAAUUCCUAGUGUAGGAGUGAAAUCCGUAGAGAUUAGGAGGAAUAUCGAUGGCGAAGGCAGCUUUCUGGGACAUUUCUGACGCUGAGAAACGAAAGCGUGGGUAGCAAACAGGAUUAGAUACCCGGGUAGUCC